Podarcis lilfordi (Lilford's wall lizard) is the source of this 69-nucleotide non-coding RNA. Lineage: Eukaryota; Metazoa; Chordata; Lepidosauria; Squamata; Lacertidae. The record is from the annotation of a GenBank genome assembly.
GGAUAGCUCAGUUGGUAGAGCAUGAGACUCUGAAUCUCAGGCACGUGGGUUUGAGCCCCACGUUGGGCA